This 498-nucleotide ribosomal RNA is filed under the name uncultured bacterium. RNAcentral describes it as "partial 16S ribosomal RNA". It matches the Rfam family "Bacterial small subunit ribosomal RNA", at positions 30 to 523 of the family's 1533-position model. The record is from RNAcentral.
AUUGAACGCUGGCGGCAUGCCUUACACAUGCAAGUCGAACGGUAACAGGUCUUCGGAUGCUGACGAGUGGCGAACGGGUGAGUAAUACAUCGGAACGUGCCUAGUAGUGGGGGAUAACUACUCGAAAGAGUGGCUAAUACCGCAUGAGAUCUACGGAUGAAAGCAGGGGAUCGCAAGACCUUGUGCUACUAGAGCGGCCGAUGGCAGAUUAGGUAGUUGGUGGGAUAAAAGCUUCCCAAGCCGACGAUCCAUAGCUGGUCUGAGAGGACAAUCAGCCACACUGGGACUGAGACACGGCCCAGACUCCUACGGGAGGCAGCAGUGGGGAAUUUUGGACAAUGGGCGCAAGCCUGAUCCAGCAAUGCCGCGUGCAGGAUGAAGGCCUUCGGGUUGUAAACUGCUUUUGUACGGAACGAAAAGCCCUGGGUUAAUACCCUGGGGUCAUGACGGUACCGUAAGAAUAAGCACCGGCUAACUACGUGCCAGCCGCCGCAGUAA